RNAcentral lists this ribosomal RNA (367 nucleotides) under uncultured organism. Its description in RNAcentral is "bacterial LSU rRNA". It matches the Rfam family "Bacterial large subunit ribosomal RNA", at positions 2099 to 2465 of the family's 2925-position model. The record is from RNAcentral.
CUUUACUGUAGCCUGGUAUUGGGUUCGGGCUUUGACUGCGCAGGAUAGGUGGGAGACUAUGAAGCAAUCCUUGUGGGGGUUGCUGAGUCAACGGUGAGAUACCACUCUGUCAGAGCUAGAAUUCUAACUAAAUGCCGUUAUCCGGCUUUGGAACCGUAUCAGGUGGGCAGUUUGACUGGGGCGGUCGCCUCCUAAAAGGUAACGGAGGCGCGCAAAGGUUCUCUCAGGCUGGUUGGAAAUCAGCCGUAGAGUGUAAAGGCAGAAGAGAGCUUGACUGCAAGAGCUACAACUCGAGCAGGGUGGAAACACGGCCUUAGUGAUCCGACGGCGCUGAGUGGAAGGGCCGUCGCUCAACGGAUAAAAGUUA